Molecule: long non-coding RNA, 1428 nt
Organism: Aegilops tauschii subsp. strangulata
Lineage: Eukaryota; Viridiplantae; Streptophyta; Magnoliopsida; Poales; Poaceae
Source: RefSeq, a predicted model, not a curated record
CACCCUACGCAAUCUCCCCACCCAAUGAACCCUUCGCCCUCUUCCUCUUACCUCCCUAUCCUUCCAACUCGAGUUUUCUAGGGUUCCGACACCGCCAACCCCGCUCAGCUCUCGCUGCCGCCACUUAUGAUGCCUGGCGAGCCAUAGAAGGAUGUGGAUAGGGUGGUUAUGGUCACAAAAGAGGAGGCGAAGAAGUUGGGGAUCAUGGCCAUCUUUCUGGGUUCAUCUGCCAUCCUCCUGCGUCAAUGACAGUCACGAAAUCAAGACAGUAGUGUACGUGUAUUGAUCUAAAGAUAUUGGCUUCCAUUUGCAUCAUCGUUCGGUUUUCCUGUUGACAAGGCUGGUCACCCGCCCCUAGCUGCCCACGACUCUGCUACCAGUCCAUCAAGUCAAAGGUCACGUUCGAGGGAUCCCUCACCUGGCUAGACCUCUUCAGUUAACAAGAUCAGCCACAAGGUUCGUCUUGAGGACAUGAAGUGCAUGGUCUUUGCUGGCACCACCUUGUCAAUGGCGGCGGCUAUGUCAUCUAUCGAGAUGGGAACAAGCAUGACGACUGAAAGUCUGAUACAGGCAAGAUCAAUUCGCAUAUCCAGGAGGUAUUGCAGUAGGAGGAUGACACAUUGAUUGAAAAGAAGCUCAAUGAGUUAUGUGAGGCGCCCAUAAUUGGGACGACACAAGGAAGAUGACUCAGAAGAAUGCACUUGUGAUAAAGUUACAGGGUGUUCGAUACCUUAACUUGGACAACAGUGAUUCGCUCUAAUAAGACAUGAACUUGGAACACCAACUAGAAGUCAGCGGUGAUGCUUGUGGCAGUUGGGAGGUAGCUCAUACAGUAAUGAACUUCAAGGUUCAUGGAACCAUGUAUGAUUCAAAUGAUGGGAAGGUAUAAUGACAGGCAAACUUUGAACAUGGAUGGUAACCUUCAGAUGACUGAAGAUAGCUGCACUAUUCAAUGAUGGUGAUGCUUGUGGCAGUUGGGAGGUAGCUCAUACAGUAAUGAACUUCAAGGUUCAUGGAACCACGUAUGAUUCAAAUGAUGGGAAGGUAUAAUGAUAGGCAAACUUUGAACAUGGAUGGUAACCUUCAGAUGACUGAAGAUAGCUGCACUAUUCAAUGAGGCAAGUAUGCACACUCUGAGCAUCAGUAUGUUGCUACUGGGAUGCCCAUAGAGGCUGCAUUCAAGGGACCGUUUGUCAAGACAUAUAUGUAACAUGUUGCUUCUACUUGGCACUUCUAUACUCUAAUUAGUUUAUAUUUAUUUUUUCCCAUUGCAACCCUCGGGCGUUUCCUCCAAAACCAGUGAAAAAUAAUGGUUGUCCGUUUUUCUGCAACUUUAGAUUAUUUUAGACUAUCUUCUUCGGCAGUGCUUCACAUUCAGAGUAUAUGGUAUAUUGUUUUGCAAAAGGUUCAAUAUAUAAAUUGAUCUUU